RNAcentral lists this unclassified non-coding RNA (652 nucleotides) under Hevea brasiliensis (rubber tree). Lineage: Eukaryota; Viridiplantae; Streptophyta; Magnoliopsida; Malpighiales; Euphorbiaceae. The record is from RNAcentral.
CCAAGGCCAAUUCCUAAACCAAUGUUUAUUUCUAUUCUUCUUCCUGAGAAAUUGGGAAUUACUUCUCCCCAUCUCUCUCUCUCUCUGUAAUCUAUCAGUCUCAAUCUCUUCUAAACCUCGGAUAUACUUGCAAUUUCGCAUCUUUAUCAAUCAAAAGAUUCAAAACCUAUAACUAAACGCCUUCUCAUGGACUCCCUUCAAGCCGCCUACAAGGAAGAAGAAGAUGACGAAGAAGAACCCACCAACCACCUCGACCGCCCCACCAUUGAACUUGCCGAUGCUGAUCACCCCAACGAUGCAGAACAACCACUUAACGACACCGAAACCUCUCAAAACGGGGACUCCACUAAACAGCAAGAGCCAUUUGUAUCUGGCCUAUCUGAGUCGGACCCAACCACUUCUAACGACACCGAGAAACCCACCCUCAAAUCCCCCAAACAUGAAGACAUUGAGGAAGAAGAAGAUGAGGAUUGAGGACGACGAUGAAGAUGAAGACCCACCUCCCAAAAAGCAAAAACAACUCUCGUCUUUGACACUGCAGCAACGAGAAGAAGAACCCGCAACAAUUGACGAUAACAGCAACGGCAAUAAUGUAUCCAACGGAACGAAGACUCCGACGGCGGCACAAGCCACGGCGAAAAAGAAAUCCAAG